AUUUGCUCCAAAAUGUAUGCUAACUAUACUUGUAUUUGAAAUAAAAGAAGGAAAAAACCAACAAAAAGUUAAAAAAACAAGUUAACCAUAAUUUAUCAUUACUUAUUAGAGGAAGAUACCAAUGGUUACGUGUGUGGGGGUGUACUCCCCCGGAAAAGUUUUGAAAUUUGAAACACGGAAAUGCCAUUUCCUGCAUUCUGAGCAUCCAAAUUUGCUCUAAAAUUUAUGCUAACUAUACUUGUAUUUGAAAUAAAAGAAGGAAAAAAUGCACAAAAAGUAAAAAA
Non-coding RNA from Paramuricea clavata, 284 nucleotides. The record is from the annotation of a GenBank genome assembly. Lineage: Eukaryota; Metazoa; Cnidaria; Anthozoa; Malacalcyonacea; Plexauridae.